GACGAACGCUGGCGGCGUGCCUAAUACAUGCAAGUCGAACGCUCUUUUCUUAUCGAACUUCGGUUCACCGAGAAAAGGGAGUGGCGAACGGGUGAGUAACACGUGGGUAACCUACCCAUCAGCGGGGGAUAACACUUGGAAACAGGUGCUAAUACCGCAUAAUUCUUUUCUUCGCCUGAAGGGAAGAUGAAAGACGCUUUUGCGUCACUGAUGGAUGGACCCGCGCUGCAUUAGCUAGUUGGUGGGUAACGGCUCACCAAGGCCACGAUGCAUAGCCGACCUGAGAGGGUGAUCGGCCACACUGGGACUGAGACACGGCCCAGACUCCUACGGGAGCAGCAGUGGGGAUUUUCCGCAAUGGGCGCAAGCCUGACGGAGCGACGCCGCGUGGGUGAAGAAGGCCCUUCGGGUGUAAAGCUCUGUCCCUAUGGGAAGAAGUCAGUGACGGUA
This 450-nucleotide ribosomal RNA is filed under the name uncultured bacterium. RNAcentral's name for it is "bacterial SSU rRNA". It matches the Rfam family "Bacterial small subunit ribosomal RNA", at positions 28 to 477 of the family's 1533-position model. The record is from RNAcentral.